AAGGAGGAAGAGAAAAUAGGGGUUGGAAAAGAUUAAUGAUUGGAGGUAAGAUACUAUUGAUUGAUCAAUUGGAUCAACCCUCAUUCGGCCAUGACCCUUUAAUUUAUAUUUAUAGGGUGGAAAGUUCUUGCCCCGCAAAGAAAUUGUUUUACAAGUCAUGAUUUACAAGGACUUCUCAAUUCUACUCAGAUUAUGGGUAAACCAGUCAGACCGCUUUGCAAACCAGUCAGACCGGUUCGUAUUGCCAGGUUGGCUACAGGACCUAGUCCGG
Molecule: long non-coding RNA, 271 nt
Filed under: Setaria viridis
Lineage: Eukaryota; Viridiplantae; Streptophyta; Magnoliopsida; Poales; Poaceae
Description: long non-coding RNA (SVIR_LNC009522)
Source: RNAcentral